This is a non-coding RNA of Peromyscus californicus insignis, 396 nucleotides long. NCBI's taxonomy places the organism in Eukaryota, Metazoa, Chordata, Mammalia, Rodentia, Cricetidae. The record is from the annotation of a RefSeq genome assembly.
AUGGGGGACCACACUCAGCUCUUGUGGCUGCUGCUACUCUGGAUCACAAGUGUAAUUUGUGACAUCCAGAUGACAGAAUCCCCAUCAUUACUCUCUACGUCUCUAGGAGACCAAGUUACCAUCAACUGCAGGGCCACUAAGAACAUUAACAAGAAUUUAGCUUGGGUUCAACAGAAACCAGGGAAAUCUCCUAUGAUAUUAAUCAAUUACGCAUCCAAUUUGCUAACUGGGGUUCCAGCAAAGUUCAGUGGGAGUGGAUCUGGCACAGAUUAUUCCCUCACUAUCAACAACCUGGAGUCUGAAGAUAUUGCAACAUAUUAUUGUCUACAGUAUUCUGAGCGUCCUCCCACAGUGAUACAAGUCAUAACAAAAACCCCCAGGGAAGCUAAAAUGUGA